CAAGGUCAGCAGUAGCCUGAUGCGACAUCACAGUGCCUACGUCCUUCACCUCCUUCCUCUCAUCACGUAGGCCUCUUAUCAUCUCACGUCAACACAGGAAGGAAAAUGCAAGAAGCAAGAAGAGACAAGCAGGUUUCAUCCCAGUAGGCACCUGGCAGCGGCUUCUCACAGUUGGCAGCGAGUUUCUGGCCAAAACAAAAGCACGAUCCUAUGGUGAAAUGCAUUCUCUCAUCACACUCUCAGCUAACUAAACCCUGCAUCAACCUGAUUUACUGUUAAGCAACCUGACCUGGUGUAACCUCUGCCACAUAGCAACCUGUCGAAAUAUUUAUCGACGGUUGUUAAUGCUUCUUGGAGCCCUCCACCCACCCACCCCACAUCCCUUUUCCCCAAUCUCGCUUUUCCUGCGUCCUCACCAUCAAACCUUCACCUUCGGUGCUCAGAACAUAACGGUGGAGGAUACCACACUUGCUCCGGAGAUGAAACUGGAAAAAUCAAAUGAUUUGUCCUGGCCAGCAAAGCAAAAUACACCAAACCCACUUCCAAAAAAAAAAAAAAAAAAAAAAUCACCCACGAGACAGACAUUUUAAACU
This is a long non-coding RNA of Leopardus geoffroyi (Geoffroy's cat), 593 nucleotides long. RefSeq lists it as uncharacterized. Lineage: Eukaryota; Metazoa; Chordata; Mammalia; Carnivora; Felidae. The record is from RefSeq and is a predicted model, not a curated record. The transcript is spliced from 2 exons.